AGAGUUUCUUACGAAGAACGACUAGCCACCGACUUCGGCCUCUGGCGGAGGCGCGACUGCGGUAACAAUGUUGUGCUGAGCGUCCGUACCAGGGAAAUCGCAGGCAAGCUAUUGAGCUCCGAAAUCAGCCUUUUCGCUCGCCGAGGGUGAAAACA
This 155-nucleotide non-coding RNA is filed under the name Allorhodopirellula solitaria. Lineage: Bacteria; Pseudomonadati; Planctomycetota; Planctomycetia; Pirellulales; Pirellulaceae. The record is from RNAcentral.